Small nuclear RNA from Phragmites australis (common reed), 105 nucleotides. NCBI's taxonomy places the organism in Eukaryota, Viridiplantae, Streptophyta, Magnoliopsida, Poales, Poaceae. The record is from RefSeq and is a predicted model, not a curated record.
GAUAACAUCGUGAAUAAUCGUGAAAAUUGGAAUUAUACAUAGAAGAUUACCAUGGUCUCUUGCGCAAGGAUGACACGCAUAAAUCGAGAAUUGUUCUAAUCUUUU